AAGACCAGUCUGGCCAACAUGGUGAAACCCUGUCUCUACUAAAAAAAUACAAAAAUUGGUUGGGCAUGGUGGUGGGUGCCUGUAAUCUCAGCUACUUGGGAGGCUGAAGCAGGAGAAUCCCUUGAACCUGGGAGGUGGAGGUUGCAGUGAGUGGAGAUUGCACUAUUGCACUCCAGCCCAGGCGACAGAGCGAGACUCCGUCUCAAAAAAACAAAGAGCAGGGACUUCUCCCAGUUCUGCGAGCUGGGAUGGGAAGUCCAAGGUCAAGGGGCCUGCAUCUGGCUGGGGCUUUUUGCUGUGUCAUCCCAUGGUGGAAGGCAGAGGGCAAGAGAGCACGGGCAGGGGAGACAGACAGACACAGACAGAGAUGAGAGACAGAGACACACAGACCAAGAUGAGAGACAAAGAUGAGAGACACAGAGACAGAGAUGAGAGACAGAGAGAUGAGAGACAGAUAAGAGAGACAGAGACAGGAGAGACAUGGAGACAGACAGAUGAGAGACAGAGCUAGAGAUGAGACACAGACAGACGGAGACAGAGAAGGGGCCACACUUACCCUUUUAUCAGGAGCCACUCCUGUGCUAACAGCGAGAACGCUUUGGUGAGGACGGAGCCCUCACGACCUCAGCAGUGUUGCGUUGGGGAUCAGGUUUCCGAUGGUGAACUUGGGGACACGUCCACACCACAGCACGUGCCUAUUGUGUUUCUCGGUGGCUGGUGUGUUUGAGGAUGGCGCGUGCAUGCGUUUUCCAGCUUUCUUUGUGGAGGAAGUUACCUGUGGGUAUUAACCUGUCCCCAGCCACCCUCUCACUGAGCUUGGGUUGCCUGGGCCUGGGUUUCCUGUUGUUGCUGGAACGAAUGACCACAGACAGUGGCAUUAGACAGCGCAGGCAGACAUGACCUCCUGGGCUUCUGCGGGUGCCAACACUGCCGCUCCUUCUGGAGGCUCAGGGAGGCUCUUGAGGGCAUUGGGACAUCGUGCUGCCGGCCACCGGGCAGAGCCGGUUUGUUUAUUUUUUGAGACUUCCGGGAACAUAGUUAUAAAUAACUUUAAUUUGCCUUGGCCUGCCCACUGCAGUACAGUCACGUGUCACAUAACAUUCUGUCUACCGUGGACCACAUAUACGACCACGCGGUCACAUAAGCUGACAAUACUGUAUUUUUACUCCACUUUCUCUAUUUAGAUACACAGUCAGUUGCCAUUGUGUCCCAGCAGCCUUCAGUACUCAGUACAGCCAUGUGCUGUGCAGGUGUCUAGCUCAGGGGCAUGAGGCCAUGGCCCAGCCCAGUGUGCAGUGGGUGGCACCUUCUGGAUUUGUGUCAGUCACUGUGGAGUUCGCACAAUGACAGACUCACCUGGGAGGCCUUCCGUGCGCUUCUGUUUCUUUCUCUCAUUUGAUUGUGGCUAGAAACAGGCUGGGAACCAGGAGUGCAGCUUCUCGGAGUACGUGGCUGCCCCACGGGGUGGGAUGUGCAUUUUCAGUCACAUUUGGGGAGAGCACGCUUGUUCUUAAGUUUUUAGUGGGUUCUAAUAAGAAUGGAUGUUGAUUUUUAGAAUUCUCCCCUGUUUAUUUUUUAACAUUUUGUGGUGGGAAUUUGUGAAAGAAUACGAAGUCAAGAGCAUGGUACAGUGAGGACCCAGCACCAUCUCCAACCUCCCCGGGGUCCACGUGGGGUCUGCGCGUGGCCGCCUGUCCCUCAGCACGAUGUCUGGGUGUAAAUCUGAGACAUCACAGCAUGCAGGCUGCAGACGUAGGCAUCUCUACAAAAGAAGGAUGCGUUUACAGGAGAAUCGCUUGAACCUGGGAGGCAGAGGUUGCAGUGAAUCGAGAUCACGGCACUGCCCUCCAGCCUGGGCGACAAAGCCAGACUCCGUCUCAAAAAAAAAAAAAAAGGGGCGGGGAGCCGGGCUCGGUGGCUCAUGCCUGUAAUCCUAGCACUUUGGGAGGCCAAGGCGGG
Molecule: long non-coding RNA, 1959 nt
Filed under: Pan troglodytes (chimpanzee)
Lineage: Eukaryota; Metazoa; Chordata; Mammalia; Primates; Hominidae
Description: long non-coding RNA NONPTRT017697
Source: RNAcentral